This 125-nucleotide small RNA is filed under the name Marmota monax (woodchuck). Lineage: Eukaryota; Metazoa; Chordata; Mammalia; Rodentia; Sciuridae. The record is from RNAcentral.
GCUGGGUGCAGUGGCUCACGCCUGUAAUCCCAGCGGCUCAGGAGGCUGAGGCAGGAGGAUCACGAGUUCAAAGCCAGCCUCAGCAAUGGCGAGGCGCUAAGCAACUCAGUGAGACCCUGUCUCUA